GUACACACCGCCCGUCACACCACGAGAGUUUGUAACACCCGAAGUCGGUGAGGUAACCUUUUUGGAGCCAGCCGCCUAAGGUGGGAUAGAUGAUUGGGGUGAAGUCGUAACAAGGUAGCCGUAUCGGAAGGUGCGGCUGGAUCACCUCCUUUCUAAGGAA
This 160-nucleotide ribosomal RNA is filed under the name Enterococcus faecium. Its description in RNAcentral is "partial 16S ribosomal RNA". It matches the Rfam family "Bacterial small subunit ribosomal RNA", at positions 1383 to 1533 of the family's 1533-position model. The record is from RNAcentral. Lineage: Bacteria; Bacillati; Bacillota; Bacilli; Lactobacillales; Enterococcaceae.